GAGACCUACGGGAGGCAGCAGUAGGGAAUUUUCGGCAAUGGACGAAAGUCUGACCGAGCAACGCCGCGUGAGGGAGGAAGUACUUCGGUAUGUAAACCUCUGUUAUAAAGGAAGAACGGUAUAAUCAGGGAAUGGGUUAUAAGUGACGGUACUUUAUGAGGAAGCCACGGCUAACUACGUGCCAGCAGCCGCGGUAAUACGUAGGUGGCGAGCGUUAUCCGGAAUCAUUGGGCGUAAAGCGAGUGCAGGCGGUUCAAUAA
This 260-nucleotide ribosomal RNA is filed under the name uncultured bacterium. RNAcentral's name for it is "partial 16S ribosomal RNA". It matches the Rfam family "Bacterial small subunit ribosomal RNA", at positions 334 to 586 of the family's 1533-position model. The record is from RNAcentral.